RNAcentral lists this ribosomal RNA (459 nucleotides) under uncultured bacterium. RNAcentral describes it as "partial 16S ribosomal RNA". It matches the Rfam family "Bacterial small subunit ribosomal RNA", at positions 338 to 795 of the family's 1533-position model. The record is from RNAcentral.
CCUACGGGAGGCAGCAGUGAGGAAUAUUGGUCAAUGGCCGGAAGGCUGAACCAGCCAAGCCGCGUGAGGGAGGAAGGCGCAGAGCGUCGCAGACCUCUUUUGCCGGGGGACAAAAGGCCGGACUCGUCCGGUCCUGAGGGUACCCGGAGAAAAAGCAUCGGCUAACUCCGUGCCAGCAGCCGCGGUAAUACGGGGGAUGCGAGCGUUAUCCGGCUUCAUUGGGUUUAAAGGGUGCUCAGGGGGGCCUUUAAGCUGGCGGGAAAAUCGCGGGGGCCAACCCCGCCGAGCAGUUGAAACUGGGGGCCUUGAGUGCGGCGGAGGCAUGCGGAAUGCGCGGUGUAGCGGUGAAAUGCAUAGAUAUCGCGAAGAACACCGGUGGCGAAGGCGGCGUGCCGUGCCGCCACUGACGCUGAGGCACGAAAGCGCGGGGAUCGAACAGGAUUAGAUACCCCUGUAGUC